This is a long non-coding RNA of Saccostrea cuccullata (small rock oyster), 313 nucleotides long. RefSeq lists it as uncharacterized. The record is from RefSeq and is a predicted model, not a curated record. The transcript has 4 exons. NCBI's taxonomy places the organism in Eukaryota, Metazoa, Mollusca, Bivalvia, Ostreida, Ostreidae.
UAGGGAUAAGAUAAGAGACAAGGCAUUUUUUAUUUGUAUUACGAGAAUAUGAGGACAUUAUUACAGAAAAUAAUGGAAGACUGAGACGAUCUGCACCAGCUCCCUAGAUCCAUCACUGCAGUGCAUUCAGCCCAGCAGUAAAGAGAUCCAGGCUUGAAGAUUAAAUAAAUACAAAAUGCAUCCAUUUCUCCACAGGCUAUUCCUAAAGAAUUGGACCAAUGGAAUCAUUCAGGCAGCAAGUUCAUCCAUGAUGGAAGGAAAAAGAAUUAAUUUCAUCCACAAGAACAUGAAGUGAUGGAAAAAAUUUGCAGCU